AGCGGCGGACGGGUGAGUAACGCGUGGGUAACCUGCCUCAUACAGGGGGAUAACAGUUAGAAAUGACUGCUAAUACCGCAUAAGACCACGGUACCGCAUGGUACAGUGGUAAAAACUCCGGUGGUAUGAGAUGGACCCGCGUCUGAUUAGGUAGUUGGUGGGGUAACGGCCUACCAAGCCGACGAUCAGUAGCCGACCUGAGAGGGUGACCGGCCACAUUGGGACUGAGACACGGCCCAG
This 240-nucleotide ribosomal RNA is filed under the name uncultured bacterium. RNAcentral describes it as "partial 16S ribosomal RNA". It matches the Rfam family "Bacterial small subunit ribosomal RNA", at positions 94 to 334 of the family's 1533-position model. The record is from RNAcentral.